This 560-nucleotide ribosomal RNA is filed under the name uncultured soil bacterium. RNAcentral's name for it is "bacterial SSU rRNA". It matches the Rfam family "Bacterial small subunit ribosomal RNA", at positions 35 to 643 of the family's 1533-position model. The record is from RNAcentral.
GCUGGCGGCAGGCUUAACACAUGCAAGUCGAGCGCCCCGCAAGGGGAGCGGCAGACGGGAGAGUAACACGUGGGAACGUACCCUUCGGUUCGGAACAACCCAGGGAAACUUGGGCUAAUACCGGAUACGUCCGUAAGGAGAAAGAUUCAUCGCCGAAGGAUCGGCCCGCGUCUGAUUAGCUAGUUGGUGAGGUAACGGCUCACCAAGGCGACGAUCAGUAGCUGGUCUGAGAGGAUGAUCAGCCUCACUGGGACUGAGACACGGCCCAGACUCCUACGGGAGGCAGCAGUGGGGAAUAUUGGACAAUGGGCGCAAGCCUGAUCCAGCCAUGCCGCGUGGGUGAUGAAGGCCCUAGGGUUGUAAAGCCCUUUCGGCGGGGAAGAUAAUGACGGUACCCGCAGAAGAAGCCCCGGCUAACUUCGUGCCAGCAGCCGCGGUAAUACGAAGGGGGCUAGCGUUGCUCGGAAUCACUGGGCGUAAAGCGCACGUAGGCGGAUUGUUAAGUCAGGGGUGAAAUCCUGGAGCUCAACUCCAGAACUGCCUUUGAUACUGACGGUCUU